UGACCACCCUUUGGGGUUAAGGCCAUACGGACAGCCGGGUCAACUGCCGA
RNAcentral lists this small RNA (50 nucleotides) under uncultured Blautia sp. RNAcentral describes it as "Streptococcus sRNA SpF59 (ldcC RNA)". It matches the Rfam family "Streptococcus sRNA SpF59 (ldcC RNA)". The record is from RNAcentral. Lineage: Bacteria; Bacillati; Bacillota; Clostridia; Lachnospirales; Lachnospiraceae.